CCUCAUCCUCAUCAUCCUCCUUGUCCUUGUCCUCUCUCUUCCUCCUCCUAUUCCUCCUCUUCAUGCUUCUCUGUCUCCUCCUCUUCCUUGUCCUCCUCCUCCUCCUCAUCUUCCUUGUGCUUGCCCUAGUCCUUGUCAUCCUCCUCCUCCUCUUCCUCCUCCUGCUCCUCCUCUUUCUCCUCCCCAUUCUCAUCCUCUUUGUCAUUGUCCUCCUCCUCCUCCUCCUCCUCAUCCUCAUUCUCCUCUUCCUCCUCGUUCUCCUCCUCCUCCUCAUCCUCCUCCUUGUCCUCGUCCUAUCUCUUCCUCCUACUAUUCCUCCUCCUCAUCUUCCACUCCUCUUCGUCGUCAUCAUCGUCGUCGUCGUCCUCGUCCUCCUCCUCGUCCUCCUCCUCGUCCUCCUCGUCCUCCUCCUCAUCCUCCUCCUCGUCCUCCUCCUCGUCCUCCUUGUCCUCCUCGUCCGCCUCCUCGUCCUCCUCCUCGUCCUCCUUGUCCUCUGCAUCUUCAUCCUUUUCCUCAUCCUCAUCCUUCUCCUCCUCCUCCACAUCCUCAUUCUCAUCCUCUUUAUCCUCCUAUUCCUCGUUCUCCUCCUCGUCUUCCUCGUCCUCCUCCUCCUUGUCCCCCUUUUCCUCCUCGUCCUCCUUAUCCUCCUCAUCCUCGUCCUUUUCCUCAUCCUUGUCCUCCUCCUCAUCCUCCUCCUCCUUAUCCUCCACAUCCUUAUCGUCCUCAUCCUCCUCAUUGUCCUCCUCAUCCUCAUUCUCCUCAUUCUCCUUCUCCUCUUCCUCCUCCUCCUCAUCAUCCUCCUUGUCCUUGUUCUCUCUCUUCCUCCUCCUAUUCUUCCUCCUCAUCUUCCACCUCCUCUUCGUCGUCGUCGUCCCCCUCCUCCUCCUCCUCGUCCUCCUCAUCAUCCUCCUCCUCGUCCUCCUUCUCAUCCUCCUCCUCUUCCUCCUCUUCUUCCUCCUCCUCCUCAUCCUCCUCCUCCUCGUCCUCCUCCUCCUCCUCUGUGUGUGGUUCUCAAGAUUCAAUGACUCUAGGAUUCCAGGAACCUGGAACUCUGGGAUUCCAUGGCUCUGUGACCCCAUGGAUGGAUUCAGGACUGUCUCCAAGGCCACAAUGGAACGUUGGUGCCAGCGGGAGGGGCUGCAGUGCAGGGGCACCAACAGGUGAGAGG
This 1168-nucleotide long non-coding RNA is filed under the name Lonchura striata (white-rumped munia). Its description in RNAcentral is "domestica (Bengalese finch) lncRNA (ENSLSDG00000001891.1)". The record is from RNAcentral. Lineage: Eukaryota; Metazoa; Chordata; Aves; Passeriformes; Estrildidae.